Molecule: unclassified non-coding RNA, 233 nt
Filed under: Phylloporus sp.
Lineage: Eukaryota; Fungi; Basidiomycota; Agaricomycetes; Boletales; Boletaceae
Description: partial contains small subunit ribosomal RNA, internal transcribed spacer 1, and 5.8S ribosomal RNA
Rfam family: Eukaryotic small subunit ribosomal RNA (bases 1-46)
Source: RNAcentral
AAGUCGUAACAAGGUUUCCGUAGGUGAACCUGCGGAAGGAUCAUUAACAAAAAUCAAACCACAAACCUGUAGAAAUAGAAACCUUUUCUUUUUGCAGUGAGCAAAAGGAGCAAAGAAAUACAUUCCUCUUUUUGCAGGAGCAAAGAGAGCAUAGAGACACGAUGUGUGAUGUGAUCAUGAAUACAGAGAAACAACAACAACAACAACUUUUAACAAUGGAUCUCUUGGCUCUU